CAACGGCGCAAAUUUGUGUAUAGAUAUAGCGAGUAUUUUACAACGAAUUAUUCCACAACUUAGAGAAAAACUAUUUCAUAUUAUAUUUUUAAACACUUUAAAAUAUUAAAAUACACGGGCAGAUGGUGAACAGCGGCGAGUUGGAAAAAAGCGCAAUUGUUCCCUCAAUGGGGCUCAUUGUCUUUUAUCCCCGUUGUGAGGCGACAGUGAGGGGUGAAACAAAAGAACUUGAACCCGGAGCACCUGCUCACGGACACGAGAUUAAACCCCGGGCUGAUUGUAUUGGGAUCCCGGGGGCGCGUCACGCCUGAUCAAAUGAUGCGGCAAGCGUGAGGCCGUGAACGCGCACCAAUGGAGCCAAUGCACAUGGAAAUGAGUCCUAACGACCAAUAUGAGAUUCCUUGAAGAAAUAAAGGCAGCACAUAAGA
Molecule: long non-coding RNA, 428 nt
Organism: Misgurnus anguillicaudatus (oriental weatherfish)
Lineage: Eukaryota; Metazoa; Chordata; Actinopteri; Cypriniformes; Cobitidae
Source: RefSeq, a predicted model, not a curated record